Molecule: ribosomal RNA, 627 nt
Filed under: Escherichia sp. E2661
Lineage: Bacteria; Pseudomonadati; Pseudomonadota; Gammaproteobacteria; Enterobacterales; Enterobacteriaceae
Description: bacterial SSU rRNA
Rfam family: Bacterial small subunit ribosomal RNA
Source: RNAcentral
UACUGGGCGUAAAGCGCACGCAGGCGGUUUGUUAAGUCAGAUGUGAAAUCCCCGGGCUCAACCUGGGAACUGCAUCUGAUACUGGCAAGCUUGAGUCUCGUAGAGGGGGGUAGAAUUCCAGGUGUAGCGGUGAAAUGCGUAGAGAUCUGGAGGAAUACCGGUGGCGAAGGCGGCCCCCUGGACGAAGACUGACGCUCAGGUGCGAAAGCGUGGGGAGCAAACAGGAUUAGAUACCCUGGUAGUCCACGCCGUAAACGAUGUCGACUUGGAGGUUGUGCCCUUGAGGUGUGGCUUCCGGAGCUAACGCGUUAAGUCGACCGCCUGGGGAGUACGGCCGCAAGGUUAAAACUCAAAUGAAUUGACGGGGGCCCGCACAAGCGGUGGAGCAUGUGGUUUAAUUCGAUGCAACGCGAAGAACCUUACCUGGUCUUGACAUCCACGGAAGUUUUCAGAGAUGAGAAUGUGCCUUCGGGAACCGUGAGACAGGUGCUGCAUGGCUGUCGUCAGCUCGUGUUGUGAAAUGUUGGGUUAAGUCCCGCAACGAGCGCAACCCUUAUCCUUUGUUGCCAGCGGUCCGGCCGGGAACUCAAAGGAGACUGCCAGUGAUAAACUGGAGGAAGGUGGGGA